Molecule: long non-coding RNA, 997 nt
Organism: Ictalurus furcatus (blue catfish)
Lineage: Eukaryota; Metazoa; Chordata; Actinopteri; Siluriformes; Ictaluridae
Exons: 3
Source: RefSeq, a predicted model, not a curated record
GACCAAGCCAAACAAGUUUUACAGGAAUUCUAAAAUAACAUUGCAUAAUUCUCUCUCUCUCUCUCUCUCUCUCUCUCUCUCUCUCGCUCUCUAGCUAAAGAAGGCGAAGAACAUCAAGACCCACUCAUAGUCUGAGCCUAGGCUUUGUUUGGAAUGAGAGCUACACCAACAGACUUAUAGGAUAUAUGCAAUUUUAAAACUCUCCUGGGACCCAGCAUAGCAGAACUUAUAUGUUGGAACUUGUUGGAUUUUCAUAUGGCAUAUCCAAAAGCGGAGAGUUUGGGGGCCGGCUCCAGAUUCAAUUAUUUAUAGCCAUCAACAAAGACUGAUAAGGAGUGCGUGGCUAUAUUUGUCUAAAGGGCAACUCUGUAAGGUGUGGAUGUAAUGUGCUGACGUGGUUUAUUGAAGGCUCUUAGAACCUCAGAUACUCUUAGAAGAAGUGUAUGGCUUUUGUAACACACAUUUGUACUGUACAUGAAAGCAACAAGAUUUUUUAACUCUGAAGUGUUAUGGAGAUUCCCUUCUCAUUCUUUGAGCUGUUCUUCAUCGUCUUAGCCUUCACCGUGUUCUGUGUGUUCGGCCUGGCUGCUGUCUAUAAACGCAGCCAGCACACAGGCAACCAAGGUGAAAUUAUUUGGACAGAGCAGAACAGAACCCAUCAUAAGAGUACAGUAAAAAGAAAACAGGAAUUCCAACCAUCAAGAAAAUAAACUCGGGGCUUCCAUAAACAUUCAGGCAGAGAAAAAGGCUAUUUUAUCCAUAACCUUCCAGACACUCUAUGCUCCUCAGUAUUUAUGGACCUGAUGAAUGACACUGUUACUGCAUUAAGUUGAAGUACAAGACGAUUUCUAGAAACUUGGAGAACUUUUUAAACAUCACUGCUGGGUUGUGAACAAGCCACCAACCAAAAAUAUCUUUCUAAUGGCGUCCUGCUGUCAGAAAUUGACCACGGAUUAAGGGCUAGAAGACGAUUAACAUGAUUAAUGCACUUUACCGG